RNAcentral lists this non-coding RNA (102 nucleotides) under Clostridium argentinense. Its description in RNAcentral is "Guanine sequence". It matches the Rfam family "Purine riboswitch aptamer". Rfam says of the family: Riboswitches are metabolite binding domains within certain messenger RNAs that serve as precision sensors for their corresponding targets. Allosteric rearrangement of mRNA structure is mediated by ligand binding, and this results in modulation of gene expression. RNAcentral also lists the same sequence under 1 other name. Lineage: Bacteria; Bacillati; Bacillota; Clostridia; Eubacteriales; Clostridiaceae. The record is from RNAcentral.
UUUUUUAAAAUAUUAGUGGCUCAUAUAAGUUUAAUGAUAGGGAUUAAAUGUUUCUACUUGGUAACCUUGAAUUACCAGACUAUGGGUUUUAAUAAACUUGAA